UUUUAUAAUUUUUAUGAUUAGCUUCUGUUUCUGUUUUUUCGGUUUUUAUUUGUGGUUUUGAAUUGUCUACUUUUUCAUACUUACAUUUUGUUUUAUUUGUUGUGUUUUUAUUAUUUUCUUGAUUUGAUUUACUAAGUUUAGGAUCCACUAUUAUAGUUUUAUCACUGGGUGUUGUAGUUGUAGUAGUUGUAGUAGUUGCAGUAGUUGUAGUAGUUGUAGUAAAAGUAGGGUUAAUCGUGUUUUCAGUCGGUAGAAUAGUACUAAAUGUGUUAUUAUUGUUGGGGGUGGUGGUAGUAGUAGUAGUAGUACUUAUGUUAUCAUCAAUCGUAUUAGCAUUAUUAUUGUUGGACUCUUCAUUAUUUGUAGUUAGAUUAUUAUUAUUAUUAUUAUUAUUAUUAUUAUUAUUAUUAUUAUUAUNNNNNNNNNNUUAUUAUUAUUAUUAUUAUUAUUAUUAUUAUUAUUAUUAUUAUUAUUUAUUCUGAAAAAUCGAAAACUCAUAUCGCCAAAAACACUUUGUGCGUAUUGCUGCAUACGAGAAUUAAAAUAAUCAUUGUCAAAGUCAGUAAUAUUUUCAGGAAGUGUAGUUAGCAAUGGAUUAUUAACGUUGACACGAUAUAGGUCAGCAUAACGACCAAAAAAUCCUGGAUCGUUGUUAUUUCUAUACCUAUAAAAAUGACUACGUAAAGGAGUGUUUGUAAAAUUUCUUUCAUUAGCAAAAGAUGUGUCUCUGAACAAAUUUUGAGAUGUAGUUGAAAAUGCUGAUCGGUACAAUUCUAAUCUUAAUACAUUUCCAGGAUUUAUAUUUUUAUAUGAUUUUUCUAUUAUAUAAUCUAUAUCUUUUUUUAUAUUUUCAACAUUUUCAACAUNNNNNNNNNNAUUUUCAACAUUUUCAACAUUUUCAACAUUUUCAACAUUUUCAACAUUUUCAAUAUUUUCAAUAUUUUUUUCCUUUUUUGUUUUUAUUUUGUCUUGUAUAAAAUCUUGUGCACAAAUUCGUAUGCCUGUUUGUUCUUUCGUUUCUUUUUUUUUUUUUUUUUUUUCUGUAAUAUGUUUGUUCUUGUGAGUCCCUUUUAACUUUUUCGCUUCCACUACUACUAGAACAACUACCGUUACUACUAUUACCACUUUUUAUGUU
Long non-coding RNA from Piliocolobus tephrosceles (Ugandan red Colobus), 1135 nucleotides. Lineage: Eukaryota; Metazoa; Chordata; Mammalia; Primates; Cercopithecidae. The record is from Ensembl.